RNAcentral lists this ribosomal RNA (482 nucleotides) under uncultured bacterium. RNAcentral describes it as "partial 16S ribosomal RNA". It matches the Rfam family "Bacterial small subunit ribosomal RNA", at positions 30 to 507 of the family's 1533-position model. The record is from RNAcentral.
AUUGAACGCUGGCGGCAUGCCUUACACAUGCAAGUCGAACGGUAACGGGCCUUCGGGUGCCGACGAGUGGCGAACGGGUGAGUAAUACAUCGGAACGUGCCCGAUCGUGGGGGAUAACGAGGCGAAAGCUUUGCUAAUACCGCAUACGAUCUACGGAUGAAAGCAGGGGACCGCAAGGCCUUGCGCGGACGGAGCGGCCGAUGGCAGAUUAGGUAGUUGGUGGGAUAAAAGCUUACCAAGCCGACGAUCUGUAGCUGGUCUGAGAGGAUGAUCAGCCACACUGGGACUGAGACACGGCCCAGACUCCUACGGGAGGCAGCAGUGGGGAAUUUUGGACAAUGGGCGCAAGCCUGAUCCAGCCAUGCCGCGUGCAGGAUGAAGGCCUUCGGGUUGUAAACUGCUUUUGUACGGAACGAAAAGCCUUCUUUUAAUUCAGGAGGGUCAUGACGGUACCGGAAGAAUAAGCACCGGCUAACUACGUG